CUGAACUGGGUUCCACACAGUCACAAAAACCAAGUCACAAGCCACAGUCACAUGUCAGUCCCAUAAAACGAACAAGUUGCAGACAAAAAAAUUGAAAAAGCCAAACAAACAACACACACACAAAAAAAGGAAAACCAAAAGCUCCAAAUAUCACCUCUGGGUUGCGUGGGCGCUGGGGACUCAACAGCUGACAGACUCAAUAGGAAGCCUCUGAUUAGCAGCAGGGGCUCAAUUUACAAACCGGAUACACUCAACAGGAAGUGGAACAUGUUCUUAUUCCAAGCCAAAGAUCACAAAUCAGAACACCUACUUCCAGGUUUGCAGUGUUCUAUUUCCAAGUUGUUCAUAAACUAAGCUGCUAUAAAAGCAAGGUACCACUGUAUUGUCAAAGAAAAUCAGGGUCACAAGUUAAUGCCCCAAAUUCCAAACUUGUCCCAAAGUUUUGUGGUACUUUUGUGCCACAGACUCCAUGUUUUGUGCUGCCCCACAAAUUGAGAAAUUGAUACUCAAACCGGGGUCACAACUAAAGGGACCCAAACCCAACCUCGUCCUAUUGACCAAUGCCAAAGAAGUGUGCUGGUUUUGUGCCAUUUUGUGCUGCAAACCCCACUUUCUCUACAGUCCCCCAAACUGAGCUUUUGAAACUCAAACUGGGGGCCAUAGGGAUACCCUCAAACCCAACCUUGUCCGAUUGCCAAUGUGGAGUGCUGUUUGGUGAUUUUGUGUGGCAUAUCCUGCUUUCUGCACUGCCCCCUAACUGUCUUGUCUUGACACAAAGCAUAUCUAGACACACAAAGCAUGUCAUGACGGACAACGCAGGUCACGACAUAAGGCACACCAUGUAUGUCAUGUCAUGACAUGCCUUGUAUAUCAUGACAUGAUGGACAUGUAAUGACAUGCCUUGUAUGUCAUGACAUGACCUUCAUUGUUGUGCAUUGCCAUUUUGUUGACACUGUUCAAGUGAGCUGCGUGAUCACCUCUCUUAAUUGCUGCAACGGUGUCAGUAAUUCACCAGGAAACUUCUCAACGGGCAGGCUGCGGGAUACACAACAUUUCCUUAAUGCUCGUAUGAGGUAAAUAUUUAACCCAAUGUUUGCUUUCUGUCUGUGGUGAGCUCAGUGGGUGUUGCGAUCUUCCCUUCGGAAUCCCAGGGAAAAUCACAGACUGCACUGCAGAAUUCCUACUGGGAGAGAAGGACGGCAGAGAGAAAGACGCCCAGAUCCCUGGCACGUGAAUAGUUGUGCUUAGAUGCACCUCUAGAAUUGAGUGCAGAAUUGCUCAGCAUGGCCGCUGAGGCAUGGCAAUUGAAAAAUGAAACCUGCACAAGUUCAGUGGACAUGGAACUCUUUCUGCAUUAUUCACUUCUUCCAUCGAUCGCCAUCAUUGUGGUUCUGUCCUGUCUUGAAAGAAGAGCUAGGAGAAGCUGGCUAGAUGAAAAAUGGCCUCUUCUCAACAGGAGAUGCGGCAUGGUCAUACCCUUGGAGUUUACCGGGGCAUUCAACAAUCGGUGGUCUCUGGGCUUUGCCUUUGGAGCUACAGCCAACAAAGUCAUGAUUCUGUUUUCGGAAGGCUACCUCCCACUGCCCAGCAAGUUCAGAUGGGCACAAGCCUUUGUCCUUCUCACUGGUGCCAUGGAAGUGGGCCUUUCCUCCUAUCCUUUCUUCGCUUGCCUGUCCACACAUUUCUCGAUCGUGGGGGCCAUGCUUGGGUUCCUUUACACAGGAAGUUGGUUUGCCAUCAUAGCCAUGAACAUUGUGCAGUGCCCACAUGGACAAAUCAUCGGGGAAUAUGAAAAUAUUAUUUUUUACUGGCCCUCCUUGCUCUGCCAGCUUUUCCUGCUAGGCAGAUUUGUCUAUAUGUUUGUGAAAGCGUCCUGGGGCCGACUCCAGCUGGCUCCUCUAAGUGAAGCGAAGGCCUCCUUCUUGGAAGCACACCAGGGCCAAUAUGUCCAGCAGCUCAUGAGGAAGCCUCCACUGAUGCAGCCUCAGAAAUCCUGGAUCCGGCAGAAGGUGUAUGAAUGGGACCCUUAUUUUCAGUUCCCCAGCAGGAUGAUCACCAUGGCUGUGCUUGCCCUCAUCUGCCUCUACAUGUUUGUUGUGAAUGAGUUUUAUGUCUACAAGCUGGUUUCACAAGCGCUGGAAGCUCUGAAGUCCACCUUUGAUGUGGUUAUUGUUUCCAGCAAUACAACAGAAGUAGUUGCCCGGGUCAAGCAUUUGAAAGAAUUUAUUGACGUCACAGAAGGUGUUUGGCUUGUCACCACCUUCACGGCCUGCCUCACCAGUGUCAGCUACCUGUUCCACAUCUUGGCCUGCUACAGGAAGCACAUGAAACGGCUGUGGGCUGGGCAGAAGCAAUUCCUUCCGUUGGUGUUUGUCAGGUUGUCAUCUUCUCAAAAUGUGGCCGCAAUAGCAAGAUACUCUGGUUGGCAAAUUGCAUACAUACUAUGGGGGUACCUGAUCAUCCACAUGGUUCAGUGCCUCUUUGGAGUGAUGUUCAUGUAUGGCUUCGUUUUGCCCAUCAAGCAUGGCCAGGGGAUCGAAAUGCUCAAAAGUCUGGGAACUGGGAUCCUCACACUUGCCGUUGUCAUAGGGCUCAUGCAACUGCAGAUUGCAACAGCUACUGCCUUCUUUCUUCAGCCGAAGAUUUUGCUGACCGACAAGCAAAAGCCUUUGGCUCUUGAUAACAGGAAAGCUUUCCACAAUUUCAACUACUUCUUGUUCUUCUACAACGUGGUGCUGGGCCUGGGGGCCUGCCUGUUCCGUCUGCUGUGCAGUGUCACCGUGGGAGCCUGGCUGAUUGCUCGGAUAGACAGGACAAUCAUGCCGAAAGGCUAUGAAGCUGCUGACCUGGGAUUCAGAACAUGGAUUGGGAUGCUCUUUAUGGACCACUACCACAUGAAUCCCACCCUCGUCUGUUUUUGCCACCUUCUCGUGGUCCAAACGAGAGAGAGACAACAGCAGAGAACCCCCAACUACCAUCAUUUCACCAAUGCAACAGUAACAGAUUUCAGGGUUUCCAACAAAGCCAGGACCAGAUGGCUGCUCUCGUACACUCUUCUAAAUAACCCCAGCCUCUCGGCAUUCAGGAAGUCAAAAUGAGGGUCCUCUCCUACAAAUGCGUUGCUAAUUUCCCCCACUACAGAUGCAACGGGACUGAAAUGAACCUCACUGAGACUGCAUUGCCACAUUCCUCAUAUGCAACUUCCUAAUACUGUAUUGUAUCAGACCAUUGGCCCAUCAAGCUGAGCCUAUGUACUACGAUUGGCUGCCGGUCUACUCCAGUUCUGCCACCUGGGACCCUCUUAACAGAAGAGACUCUAGCGAUUGAAUCUGGGACCUUCUGCUUGCCAAGGAAAAACUCUGCUAUUGAGCUCUAACCGUGAACUUGAGCUUGCUAUUUGAGAUGGUCUGGAGAACUGCUACCGGUAGCCCAGAUGUCUCUGUGUCUGCAUGAUGUGGAAGAUCAUAGAAUCAUAGAAUCAUAGAGUUGGAAGAGACCACAAGGGCCAUCCAGUCCAACCCCCUGCCAAGCAGGAAACACCAUCAAAAAAAAGAUACCUGAAUAGUACCUCAUUUGCUGGCUUUCAUCAUGCUUCCGGCAUUUUUCUGCUAUUUCAUUGGUAGGUCUCCAGUGAAGCCCAUCUCUGGGUGAUUUUGGGCAGAGAUGAAUCUAACUGCUGGAAAUGUAGACAAAAGGCCUCUGAUAUGUCCAUCCUUCCCCAGUGGGAAAAUGUACCACAGCUGCAUCUUCAAAAUUCACAUGAUAGCACUGUGGUCACACUGGUGAUGUCAUAACACACACACCAAUGAGGUCAUAGUUACUGUAUCCAGACAUCAGAAAGGCCACAGCUCAGUAACCCUGAUGCCCAUAUAUGUUUGGAAAUCAUCCGGUUUUAAUUUUUACUGCUGGUAACACUUUGUAAUUCAAAAUGAGUAUACAGAAAUAUUGACAAUUUGAACAUUGCAAAAACUAGUAAAAUACUUUCGCGCAAAUCAAUACGGCUUGUUUAAAUGUGACGAAAACGAGAAAGAUGUUAUUUCAUGAGCAGUAGUUGUCCUAGUAUGGGGUAUGUUUUUGCUGGUGCUCCUCGGCAGGUACCGCAAACACUCAGCUUUAUUUUUAUUACUUUUUAUUAUUUACAAAGGCAAGUCUUUAGCCUUCCUAGAAAGGGCUUCAUAUGCCAGCUGCACCAUUUCCUUCAUUUGGUGCGGGAAUUUUAUUUUCAGUAUAAACAGGACUCUGUUUUUGAACCUGUACACACACCACUUUUAAUUUUUCCCAGGUGUGGAGGUGAGGAAAAAGAAUAACUGGGACAUUCUGGGAGCAAAUCAGAAACUGGGUUGGCUUCUGUAAUUCUGGGACUGUCCUUGGAAAACUGAUCACUUGGAGGGUAUGGGACUGAACUACAAGUUAUAUGGAGUUCUGUAUAACUUCCCAUCUCCCUUUAAGAGUGUGUGUGUGUGUGGGGGGGUAGCUAAUGAUGCUGCAAUCAGGCAUAGAGAAAGCAGGUGGGGAGGGGUGGUUAACCCUUUUCUUGCUGCCAGUUUCAACUCUCAAUAGUCGCCCCUUUAUCUGCUGCUUCUCUGUGGGGGAAAAAGGACAGGUUUUGUGUCUUUCCUGCGGGAAGGCCACAGAGGGAGAGAGUGUCCAUAUUGCAAUUUGGGAUUAAAGGUGGGUCUGGAAUCUGAGAAGGUUACUGACUGCUUUGUAGGGGGUUGGAACAGAUGACCCUUAGGGUCCCUUCCAAGUCUACAGUUCUGUGAUUCUUCGACUUUUGCCCUGUGCAUUUUGAGAUCUCUUCACCAAGGGCAGAUCGAGAAUAUCUAUCUUCACACUGAGAGCCAGUGCGGCAUAACAGUUAGAGUGCUGGACUAUGAACUUGGGAGACCAGUGGCAGUGAAUCCCAAGUCAGCCAUGAAGCUCACUGGGUGACCUUCAGCCAGUCACCAUCUCAUAGCUUAACCUACCUCACAGGGCUGUUGCGAGGAUGAAAUGGAGUGCAUAGCUGCCAAGUUUUCCCAUUUCUCACGAGGAAGCCUAUUCAGCAUAAGGGAAUUUCCCUUUAAAAAAGGGAGAACUUGGCAGCUAUGAUGGGGUGUCUUAUUAAAAAAUGGUGCUAGUCGGAAUCACGUUGAGAAUGAGAACCAUAAAGUGCAUUUUGGACCACAUAUUUAAUUUCAAGGGGCACAAGAUUCCAGACUGCAGUUCUUCUUGAGCUGCUAAGAACUCAGAGGAGCUUUGCCUGAAUUUAGGGCUGCAACCUUAGGCACCCAUACCUAGGAGUAGGUUCCAUUGAAUUCAAUGGCACUUCUGAGUCAAUAUGCAUAGGAAUAAGGUUGUUAGUUCAUUUAGGAUUGGGGCCUUAGGCUAAAGGGUGAUAUCUGUUGCAUGCUCAUAACAUUCAUACACAAUACAAAAUGAAACGAAAACGAAAACCAGAACUUAAAAACAUUACAAAAUUAUUAUUGUAGUUAUUUCUUUUCUUCCCCUCCCCUUUUCAUGUCUUAUUUUACUCUGUGUACACACACAUAUGUGUGUGGGCAUUUGUAUAAAUUUGCGUGUGUGUAUAAUUGUAAUCUUUAAAUCUUUCCGCAGUAUAAAGAAUACAUAAACUAUUAAGGUUGAAAUCCUUGUUUGAUGGGAGAUAUUUACUUGGGAGUAAGCACCAAUGGAUUUACUUCUGAGUAAACAAUCCAUAGGCUUGGGCUGUAUGACUGCACAUUUACUUGACAGUAAGUUCCACUGAACUCAGCCUUACUUCUGAGUAAACAGUGCAUAGGACUGAGCUUUCCCUUCACUGAUACACAAUGGAGGCAGAGUCAUUAGUGCCAGACAGGAAAUGACCGUCACAGAGUCAACCCACCCUCUUUCUCAAGAAGAGCCACCGAUCCUACGCAACCCCUUACCUGCUGUGGUGGGGGCAUUUCUGAUUGCUUUCUUGAGCUGUCACUCAAGCGUGGUCUGCCUUUUGAUGACAUCAUCACAGGUAUAUAAAGAAGAGCUCUGCAAGAGAAGGUUUGGAAGGUGGGUCUUGGGUAUUUUGUGGUAAGUUAACAUGUUUGUAUGUUGACUUUUGGAGUCCUUAACUAGUUCUCUGUGUGCUUUGGUGUUUCUGCAGCAGGGAAAGCCAGGUUGUUGUUUUAAUUGAAUACAUGUUUAAGGCUGGCUGCUAAAAUGGCACUAAUUCUAUAAAAGUUAGAAUGCCACACCCUGGGGCUGGAUGGCUAGGGCAGCAAUAUAUUACUAGGGUGUGGCAACCUUUAUGAGUACAAUAUUAAACACUGCAUGCAUUUACUUGGCUUAGCCUUGAGGCUGUGCCUCUCCACUUUCCAUUCAUGCGCUCUGCAGUGGUUAACAGGUGACUGUGUUUCCCCCAUGAGUUCCAAACACCCCACACUUAGACUACCGGUAAGUAACAAAGUUGUGGGAAGACCACCAGUGCCUUUUGUCUUGAAUGGCACCACACAGGCCUUGUCUAUGAAAAGCAGCAAAGGUGAGUUUAAAUUGUGGGUUCUCCGUUACAACCGUGAAAGUAAGGGAUCAUAGAAUCAUAGAGUUGGAGAGGACCACGAGGGGCAUCUAGUCCAACCCCUUGCAAUGCAGGAAUCUUUUGCCCAAUGCGGGGCUUGAACCCAGGACGCUGAGAUUCAGAGUCUCCUGCUCUCCUGACUGAGCUAUGAAGACUUCCUUCUCAGUAACAGUGCUCCAGUUGUGGGGUCCUUCGACCAGCAAAGCCCAAACCAUUAUUUUCUCCUACAGAUGAUUUGGAGAAAGAGAGUUAAGGGCAUUUCACUCUUCUGGGAAUAAAACAAAAGAGGCUGUUGUAGUUCUUUUGUAGUUCUUUUUUUAGAUUUCUUGUAUGCUUUAUAGGUACUGCUUUGUGGGAAAUUAUUUUGCAUGGCGUAUAUCUUUUACCGUAAUUGCUUCGGGAGUCCCACCCAAUACAGCUUAUGCACAAUACACUUAAAGCUGCAUUUAACUCUUGGGAGCUGUAGUUUACCCUUCAGAGAGCAACAAGUCCCAGCACCUUUAAGAAACCAUAGUUUUCAGCAGCAUAGUUUUCUGGGGGGUAGGCACAGUGGCAUUGCAACAGGGAGCGGUGGGGGUUGUGCGUCUCCGGGGGUGACAAGGCGGCACCCCACUGCGGCGGCACGAGCAGCCAUCACGCCACCGCAGCUGCAUGUGGAGGAUCCUUCAUUCACGCCUGCAGCUGCGAGCAGAGGAUCCCGGCACUGCGCUGCCGGCAAACCACUACAUAGCGCACUUGUGCGGCAUCGCUACGUACGCUGCAUGCGUCAAACGUAGCAACGCCGCACAUGCAUGCUAUGUAGCGACGCCCCGCCCCCAGGUGCACGUCAUGUUUGCCGCUCCGUGUGCCCGAGCAGCUUCCUAUGCCACUGGGUAGGCAUACCCUAAACAUUUUGUGAAUCUUUGUACUUUUGUUCAUUCACUGUAUUUAUUUCCCCCGAUUUGAGCUAUAAAAUGGUGAUUUUCUUGAAUCAAAAUGAAGGUACCCAAACACUUUUUUAAAAGAAAAAAAAGCACUGGUUUUCAGGAAAGAUUUGGAGGAAAUGAUGUGCUUUGAAUAUAUGGUAUGGACCAGGCAUCCCCAAACUGCGGCCCUCCAGAUGUUUUGGCCUACAACUCCCAUGAUCCCUAGCUAACAGGACCAGUGGUCGGGGAAGAUGGGAAUUGUAGUCCAAAACAUCUGGAGGGCCGAAGUUUGGGGAUGCCUGGUAUGGACACACCCAGUCUAAGAGAUGAUAGGUAAUGUUGGUCUUCUUGCCUGUUCUUUCUAGAGCGGCCAAGUUAAUGCCAUGGCAUCAGAAAACAAAGACAUGGCAGCAGCUGCUUCUGACUCCAAGAACAAUGAAGACCAGCAGAACCUGGUGAGCAGAGUGGCCUCGGUUUCCCUGAGUGCUGCUUGUGAAAUGGUCUCCACCACAUACUCUUCAAUGAAAGAGAACAUUCCGGGCUUCAAAUCUUUCUGUGAUGCGGCCGAGACGGGGAUGAGGACAAUUGCUUCGGCCGCAGUCAGUGGGGUGCAGCCUCUUUUCGGCAAGCCCCGGACAGCAGAUGUGCAGGGCAGCCGAGAUCUGGACAAAGUGGAAGAAAAGGAAUCAAUAGCUCAAGGACCAGAUGAUCAGG
Non-coding RNA from Zootoca vivipara (common lizard), 8148 nucleotides. The record is from RefSeq and is a predicted model, not a curated record. Lineage: Eukaryota; Metazoa; Chordata; Lepidosauria; Squamata; Lacertidae.